AUUGAACGCUGGCGGCAUGCCUUACACAUGCAAGUCGAACGGCAGCGGGGGAGAAGCUUGCUUUUCCUGCCGGCGAGUGGCGAACGGGUGAGUAAUACAUCGGAACGUGCCCUGUAGUGGGGGAUAACUAGUCGAAAGAUUAGCUAAUACCGCAUACGACCUGAGGGUGAAAGCGGGGGACCGUAAGGCCCCAUGCUAUAGGAGCGGCCGAUGUCUGAUUAGCUAGUUGGUGGGGUAAAGGCCUACCAAGGCGACGAUCAGUAGCUGGUCUGAGAGGACGAUCAGCCACACUGGGGCUGAGACACGGCCCAGACUCCUACGGGAGGCAGCAGUGGGGAAUUUUGGACAAUGGGCGAAAGCCUGAUCCAGCAAUGCCGCGUGUGUGAAGAAGGCCUUCGGGUUGUAAAGCACUUUUGUCCGGAAAGAAAUGGCUCUGGUUAAUACCUGGGGUCGAUGACGGUACCGGAAGAAUGAGGACCGGCUAACUACGUGCCAGCAGCCGCCGUAA
Molecule: ribosomal RNA, 508 nt
Filed under: uncultured bacterium
Lineage: Bacteria
Description: partial 16S ribosomal RNA
Rfam family: Bacterial small subunit ribosomal RNA
Source: RNAcentral